UGGUGGAACUUGUCGAAGGAAACAACCACCUUAUCAGACUCAAGAGUUGUCAUGGCAAGUACCUCUUGGCUUCUGAUGUUGCAUUUCUUCUUGGUAUGACGGGAAACAAGGUUACUCAGACUUCACCUGAAAAUACCAACGACUUGAGAAUUGAAUGGGAACCAAUAAGGGACGGAUUUCAAGUGAAGUUAAAGGAUUUUGGUGGAAGAUAUUUACGUGCAAAUGGAGGGACACCGCCUUGGAGAAAUUCUGUCACACAUGAUAGUCCUCACACUGCGUCUACACAUAAUUGGAUUUUAUGGAACGUGGAAACUGUUGAUAUACCGGAAAAUGAAAUGUUGACAGAUUAUUUAAC
Molecule: long non-coding RNA, 355 nt
Filed under: Nicotiana benthamiana
Lineage: Eukaryota; Viridiplantae; Streptophyta; Magnoliopsida; Solanales; Solanaceae
Description: long non-coding RNA (NBEN_LNC022835)
Source: RNAcentral